RNAcentral lists this long non-coding RNA (837 nucleotides) under Malus domestica (apple). Its description in RNAcentral is "long non-coding RNA (MDOM_LNC017754)". Lineage: Eukaryota; Viridiplantae; Streptophyta; Magnoliopsida; Rosales; Rosaceae. The record is from RNAcentral.
CCGCUACCGCAAGGCUAUUUUCCGACGGUUUUCCAUCCAAAUUUCUGGUCUUCUUCAACCUCCCAUCAACCCCAAACACCUGCAAGAUAUCCUAGCAUCCUAAUUGACCCAAAAAUCAAUGAGUUUCAUGGUGAUUUCGCGAAGAACACCUACACGGGUGCCGUGAGACCUUUUCUCAAAUCUACCAAUUCUGAAGCAAUUUCCUUCAAUUACCACUACCAUUAGACUCCCCUAGAACCCAGAAACAAAGCCCAGGCAAUGGUGGAGGCGUCAGAGCAAGUUUGGGGGUCGAAUUGAAGAACACCCAAUUCUAAGGUUUCGCACGGGUUUGAGCAAAUUGGAGCCUUUCUAGGCCAAAUUGGCCUUGGACUCAGGUAUAAAGUUUACUCUACUCAUUGAGAUAUUCAUUUCUGCAAAAUUUGGUAAUUUUUGGAAAUAGUUGGAUUUUCCGGCAAGCCGAGGCGGCUGACCGCCACCCACGGCGGCGUGUGGCCAGUAAGCCGCCAAUGCCACUUUUAGGCCAUAAUUUAUGUUCUGAAUUUAUUUUUGGUGAAUGAAUGACGUAUGAUGAUCAUUCAAACCUAAAUUCGUUACGAUGCGUGGUUAGGCCAAAACAUGAAUUGAUGAUCCGACCGUUGGAUCGUCACUAAACUUUGAUACGUUGUAAUACGUAAUAUUUGAGGAUUAUAGGAACUUAUAGAUCGAGAAUAUGAUUUAUAGAUCUUUCGGAAUUGGAGUUGUAAGUUCAUAAGAUAGAAUGUUAACCAUCACUUGGUUUUGGCAAUUGACGGAGAUUCGACCGUUGGAUGGUAAUGAAAUUUUAGGAUGUUGUCCUAG